This 67-nucleotide transfer RNA is filed under the name Brundinia marina. RNAcentral's name for it is "tRNA-Gly". Lineage: Eukaryota; Metazoa; Arthropoda; Insecta; Coleoptera; Staphylinidae. The record is from RNAcentral.
AUUUAUAUAAUAUAAAAUAUUAUAUUUGACUUCCAAUCAAAAUAUCUAAAUAAACUUAGUGUAAAUA